RNAcentral lists this ribosomal RNA (253 nucleotides) under uncultured bacterium. RNAcentral describes it as "partial 16S ribosomal RNA". It matches the Rfam family "Bacterial small subunit ribosomal RNA", at positions 524 to 776 of the family's 1533-position model. The record is from RNAcentral.
UACGUAGGGUGCAAGCGUUAAUCGGAAUUACUGGGCGUAAAGCGUGCGCAGCCGGUUCGCUAAGACAGAUGUGAAAUCCCCGGGCUUAACCUGGGAACUGCAUUUGUGACUGGCGGGCUAGAGUAUGGCAGAGGGGGGUAGAAUUCCACGUGUAGCAGUGAAAUGCGUAGAGAUGUGGAGGAAUACCGAUGGCGAAGGCAGCCCCCUGGGCCAAUACUGACGCUCAUGCACGAAAGCGUGGGGAGCAAACAGG